This 311-nucleotide long non-coding RNA is filed under the name Chinchilla lanigera (long-tailed chinchilla). Its description in RNAcentral is "lncRNA (ENSCLAG00000025863.1)". The record is from RNAcentral. Lineage: Eukaryota; Metazoa; Chordata; Mammalia; Rodentia; Chinchillidae.
UGUGACCCUGCUGGGCCACCAUAGUUACCUACAAAAUACCUUGUAGAUAUUAUUCUCCUUUUACAGAGAAGGGAAGUGAGUUUCUAAGAUCUUUAUUUUACAUUUGUAGAAGACUAGGAGUAAAGAAACAGACAGAUAUGAACUCGUAUAAUCAAGACCUUGAAGGAAAUAUGACCCACGAUGCCGUGAAUGUUGCUGCUAAGUAUCACCCAGCUGAAAGCCAGCCAUGUAAAAACAUCUUCGUCCUCAUCCUGCGUAUUCACCAGCUUCCUAUAUGCGGAUUCUCCCACUCUCUCCAGACCUCACUGUCC